RNAcentral lists this long non-coding RNA (1370 nucleotides) under Takifugu rubripes (torafugu). RNAcentral describes it as "lncRNA (ENSTRUG00000032197.1)". Lineage: Eukaryota; Metazoa; Chordata; Actinopteri; Tetraodontiformes; Tetraodontidae. The record is from RNAcentral.
GCGUAAACUCGGACGUCUGUCCAACAGGCUCUUCGUACGCUACCUUAAUAACUCAGCGGGCCUACUUUUCUGUUUAGGCUAGAAUUUCAAUGUCUGCCAUUAAUUUACGUUCUAUUUACGUUCUAAUUUAUGUUCUUUUCUCACGUGAUCUCAGGGAAUCAGGCAAAUUUAUUUGCACAAGAACAUGUGUGUCGUCCUCUUUAUUGCUCCACACAAAGCAAAUACUGCGUAAGAUAAAUGGCUUUAGAGCGCUGCGGCAAUAAACAGAAGGGCAGCGUUUACAUUUCCAGUCCAUGCUGGGACCAGCUGAAGGUAAAUAACAAAACGGUGUUAUGUUGUGCUGAUGAUGAGGUGGUUUAUGUUUGAUAUUAGGGCCGACAUUUCAAAGAGGACUGUUUCCUGAGCGUGUCCUGGAGCUCUAUGCUGGUUGGCAUGGAAGUGGACCCAGAGUUCCUCUAGUCACCAUCUGGAGCGUUACCUCCUUCGUCAGGGUCCAGCAGUAUGAAAGCAGCCUGCAGCUCAGCAGAAAGGUCCUGAUCUCCCAGAUCAACAGCUGCUUCAACAAGAGGAGCGGUUUGGAGCUGGCUCCAUCCGCAGACGCACACAUCUCCAGGGAGUGGGCCGAGGUGUGACGGAGCCAGACAUUAAACAGAAGCUGGGCCAGGUUAGAGGGGCCAGGCGUGGGAGACGGGAGAGAGCGUGUGGGAUAGAGCCCUGUGUAGGCACCAACUUAACCCCCUCCCCCUCAUCUCCGGUCCUAUCUGCUCACCCACGCGCUCCUCUCCAUCCCCACUCCCCCUCGCGCCUCUAUUUUCUCUUCCAUUGUAUUCUGCAGCCCUCUGCCCACACUGCAAGCUCCACGCCCAGACGGAGCACAAGAGCCUGCGUGUUUUGCUCAGAAGUGACAGACAAGAAUUUCGCCGCGGUUCUCCCGCCGACUGGCGGCGUUUCCAUUCCUCGCUCGGGACGACUCGGGGCGCUCCGUGCAGCUCCAAACAAACAUGGGCCAACAUAUACAGAGGGCGGGGAGCUAAUCAGUCCCAUACCGGCGUUUCAGUCAACACACGGUCAGACGCGAGCAGACGAAAGCCUGUCCACGUCACGCUAGCAUGACAGGAGGACGGAACUGGAGAGACCGGUUUAAAAACACCUAAAGGACUCAAUACUUACAAAAGAUAGGGGAAACAUGGAGGAUGGUAGAGCUAAAGUGACAUUUAUACAUGUUUUAGAGGUCUGGGUUGUAUUAAAGUACUAAUAAACUGUACUUGUGGAAGCAGGAGUGGUUGUAUUGACGCUAAGCUGAUUAACAGAAUAGAAGCUGCAAUAAAACGUGUCCACUGACGACCCGUUUGAAGUGUAUUUGCGAGGCG